This is a long non-coding RNA of Tympanuchus pallidicinctus (lesser prairie-chicken), 335 nucleotides long. RefSeq lists it as uncharacterized. The record is from RefSeq and is a predicted model, not a curated record. The transcript is spliced from 3 exons. NCBI's taxonomy places the organism in Eukaryota, Metazoa, Chordata, Aves, Galliformes, Phasianidae.
CAAAAGUGAAAGGAAUUAAGCGGGCAGAUCCGACAGCCCAGAGAAACGUUUCGGGCCCUUCAGCGUGGAGUUACCGCACUCUUAGAGAAGAGGACGUUCCUACAACGGAAAGCAGGCAACCCAUCUGGCCAUUCCCAACCAAGAGACACAGAGCUCCACGCUGGAAUAGUCAUGAGCAAAAGAUAGAGAAAAUGCUGGACCCAAGAGCUGGAGACAAACGGCCCUGCCCAAGGAAAGUGCGUUACACAGACAGCUUGCUGGCCAAGAAAGGGACCGCGUGGACCUGGGCUGCACAAAGAGCGGACCGCACGGAGUCACGGCAGCGUCUGCUGGCG